This is a non-coding RNA of Lentinula raphanica, 99 nucleotides long. NCBI's taxonomy places the organism in Eukaryota, Fungi, Basidiomycota, Agaricomycetes, Agaricales, Omphalotaceae. The record is from the annotation of a GenBank genome assembly.
GCCCGUUUAGCUUAAUGGUAAAGCGCUAGAUAGAUAUCUGUAUGAUGAGAUAAUAUGUGCAAUAUCUGGCUGAUGUGAGUUCGAUUCUCGCAAUGGGCA